GCUGGGUGUGGUGGCUCACGCCUGUAAUCCCAACACUUUGGGAGGCUGAGUCGGGUGGAUUGCUUGAGGUCAGGAGUUUAAGACCAGCCUGGCCAACAUGGCAAAACCCCGUCUCUA
Molecule: non-coding RNA, 117 nt
Filed under: Pan paniscus (pygmy chimpanzee)
Lineage: Eukaryota; Metazoa; Chordata; Mammalia; Primates; Hominidae
Also listed under: 1 other name
Source: Rfam by way of RNAcentral